This 104-nucleotide unclassified non-coding RNA is filed under the name Liparis hostifolia. RNAcentral describes it as "partial miscellaneous RNA". The record is from RNAcentral. Lineage: Eukaryota; Viridiplantae; Streptophyta; Magnoliopsida; Asparagales; Orchidaceae.
CAUUCAUCCCAUUUGAUGCCUCAUUUCCYGUGGAUUUGUUACACGAUGAAGGAUGAAAAAACUUUAAACCGGCGCAGCUUCGCGCCAAGUAUAGAUUGAAAACA